UGUCAAAUUCAUUUCCUUUGAUAUAAAUCUCAGAGAAUUCUACUGACUUCUGCUGGCUCCUCUGGAGUUAAUCAGACAGAUAAGACCCUCUAGUCCAACUAAUGUGAGAUCAACUCUGGUACUUCAUUACUGAAGGUCUUUCAAACAGUGUGCUACUAAUGUUCUAAAUCAGGACAUUGCAGGAGUGUUCACAGUGUUUAAACCCUGGGAAAUGUUCUCUUUCCAUUUAAACUUGGUGAUCAAGGUGUUUGUAACAUUGGCAUUUGCAUUUUAAAUAGGAUUAGACAUUUCCUUACAUGUUUUUCUCCCAGACAAAAGAAUCACAAAUGUCCUGCUUUAAACAUAUUUAAAAAAUCUGGACCUGAUUUCUGAACUUUUUGAUCUCUUAGGCUGGAACCCUGAGAUCAGCAAUCUGUGCCUGAGGCAAAACCAAAUUAUGGUGAUAGGAAAAUGUGGGUCUAAGGCAUCUACCUACCUGCCCAAUCUAUAGCUUGAUUGACCUAAAUUAGUGUGGCUGAAAGGAUGCUUUGAAGAUAAAUGGGCUAGGGUAGUCUCUUGGGGACUCCUCUGGUGGUCACAGAUUGCUAGUGAUCCUGCUCUUUUACAUGCUCAUGUAACUGCCCACCAGGAAAUCCUGUCAUGCUGUAGGGGAGAGGAGGAGAAGGGUCAAGACUGACAUUCUGCUAGAAUUCACCCUACAUCAGAGGGUCCUAUCUGCCUGUUUGGUGCUAAACUGUUGCCAGGAGAAGGAGCCAAAGGACUAGGAUCUAGUUUAAUGUAGCUGAGAAUUAGCUUAAUUUUAAAUGUUAAAGCUUUGCAGGUACUUAGGUCAUGUUUAAAUAUUUAUCAGCUCUAUUAAUAAUUAAAUAAGCUACUUAAUAAUUGGCAUUCUCUGCAGUGUUAGACACAGAUAUCCUUUGCUCAAAGAGAGCAACAGAAAUCAUCUCUGCCACCCUCUUCCCUAGAGCACAUCCCUGUAGGAUCCCAUGGCUACCAUCCAACAUGAUAUCAAUAGCAGGAUGCAUGACAAACCAGACCCCACUCAGCUAUCGCAUGCCAUUGCCUCCAAAAACAAACAUUAAAAGAAAUGGAGCCACUACUGAACCUGAUGAUUUAAUUGGGACCAAGAAUGAAAGACUGCUAGCACUACAACUGAAAUACACUGAAGAGAAACCCAACUCUGUUCCUAAUUAGGUGUCUGAAGAACCGGAAGCUUUUUUUGCUUCAAAUGACAGAAAAUAACUCAAUACAUGCAAAAAUAUUCAGGUCCUCUCCACAUGUCCCCCAAAUUAAUGCAUCAUUUGACAAUGACUACAAGACUGACAAGGCACUGUGGAUAGUUAUAUGCAAAUGAGCACCACAUUGUCUCCUAACUUGCUUUACAACUUUGGGCAUGUGCAUACACAUGUGCAAACUUUCUUAACCAGAACUCUUCCAGAUUAUGUAUCUUUGAAUAGGUACCUGCUUGCCCUCAUGUAAUGUGAGAGUCAAACCUGAACAUAAAUAAUCUCAUUAAAGAAGGUUACAUGCAUUUAUCCUGAGUACACCGAUGCACCAUGAUGCCAGUAGCAUAAUAUAAUAAAAACAGUAAAACCCAAAAUAUGGAUUUUGGGUGCCUUUGAACACAGGCACAGGAAAGUCCAUGAGCUUGUACCCAGGUAUUAGGUUUAUGCAACAAGUGAAAAUGUAUGGCUUUCAGUGUUUGAAUUCCUUGACAGCCUACUCUAAAAGCAUUUUUGGUAUGGUACAGAUGUUAUUCACCAAUGUGGCCAAAACUAUGAUUGGUGCUGCCAGAAAUAUUGCAUCUAAAGAGUUAAAAGUGCAAAGUUCCUUUGCAAUCCUAGUUCAGAUUGUUUUGUGAUUAAUGGUGGUUAACGGCAAUUAAUAAGAUAUGAAAUGAGAAAUCUUCCACAAAAGCUGUAAAGCCAAUGGACAGAAUUAGAACUAUUCCACUGUAUAUCAUAAGCUCUGUUCUGAAUAAGCCCUGCCAAGGCCCUUAUUUAGAAGAGUUGCACAGAUUUUUCAGCUUACCAUAUGCUUAAAUGCUCUGUUGUAUCAUGGCCUAAUUGAGCUUCUCUUCAAGUUAGGUCAAGUGGAACACAUGCGACUGUGAAACAUUGCUGGAGUUAUCGACUGCUGCCGUGAAAUCCCAUGUGAGGAUCUCCUUUCACUAGAGUUCCAGCAAAUAUAGCUUAACCCCCUCUGUCUGCAAACAGUAGGUCCUGGUGGGCGGUAAAUAGGGAAAGGCUUCUUAGUAUAGACCUACUUCUUCCUGAUCACUUAGGGGUAAUUUGCAUCCCAGGGAGGGUUGGAGCUGACUAUGACUUUUCCUUAGAUGGAUGGCCACCUGAAAGGCUCCAUAAUUCUUCCACUAUACAAAGCCUGUCCAAAUCUAGAUGGUCUACCUGGCUAAUAUGUUUAUGGCCCACCAGUUUCUUUUGCCCAUGGUACACAAUGGAAUGAUGUGGCUAGCAUCAUGUCAGACUACCUUUGAUUUCUCAGCCCCAACAACCUGGUACCUAUUUGCAGCUGUUGCAAUAGCACUAGUCCAGAGCAUGAAUCAAAUUUAUGUCUCUGGAACUGCAGUAAGAUGCCUUGCCUACUCUGUCCCUAGACCUCUAUCCCACAUACAAGGGCAAGGGACAAAUUAGUUCUAGUGCUAAAUGAUGGUUUGAGAAUUUCCUGUGGAAGGUAGACAAAAAGAAGAAUGAACAAACCAAACUAAGUGCCCCCGGACCCUCAAAUCACAGUAUUGUGACUUCUUAGUGGUAGAAAGAGUAAUUGCAUUUAUUACAAUUAUGUCUAAAAAUGCAACAGAAUAGAUUUCCCUUGUGCUAGAUACAGUAGCAGGCUCUCUAUGGGCACAUCUACACAUGCAAUUAAUGUGCCAGAAUUUUCUGAUUGGAGGCAGGGGCAUUAAACUGUAACCCUGUAAGCACAUGAACAUGCAUCUGUCAGGUGCAAAUUUGUUCCCAAUGGGAACAGUUCACUCCAGGGACCCUCCUAGCCUGCUUGUCCCCCCUGCAGUAACUAUGGGAGCUCCAGGUUCUGCCAGGAACAGGGGCUGAUCCCAAUCUUCAGGGCAUGGGGGAGAGCUGUCUCAGCCAUGUGGAGAUUGGGUUGGGACCUGAUG
This is a long non-coding RNA of Gavialis gangeticus (Gharial), 3133 nucleotides long. RefSeq lists it as uncharacterized. The record is from RefSeq and is a predicted model, not a curated record. NCBI's taxonomy places the organism in Eukaryota, Metazoa, Chordata, Crocodylia, Gavialidae. The transcript has 3 exons.